Molecule: long non-coding RNA, 860 nt
Organism: Tachysurus vachellii
Lineage: Eukaryota; Metazoa; Chordata; Actinopteri; Siluriformes; Bagridae
Exons: 4
Source: RefSeq, a predicted model, not a curated record
CCAUAAACUAUAAAUUAUUACAUAAUUUUUAAAAGAGCUUAUACAAAAAAAAAACAUUUUGAUUUGAUUUCUAAAGUGCAUUUUUAAUCAGGAGUAUUACAUGAAACUUGGAAAGGAUAGAGAGGAUAUGUGAUACUUGUGGGCAGAUCCAUGUGGGAGAUGUUCUUAGCUCAUCAGUUAUCAGAUGUUGUAUAUAUACAGGUGCGGUAGAAAAAAAAGUCUUUUUCCUGGACAAACUAGACCGAAUACUGUUAGAUAGACAUUCACCAGUUUACUCAGUCAUUCUUACAACUGAAUAAUGGCACCUCAAGUUUCAGUCCUGAUUGUUUUUGCUGUUGUUCUUUCUGUUGCUCAGGGCCUGAUUUGUAACUCCUGCCAGAGUAUUGAGAGGAACCAUCCUGUCUGUGACCAAAUGGAGGAGACAGAGUGCAGCAUGGGUCUCACACAGUGCAUCAGGCUCAUAAUGCAUGAACCAGCAUAUGGUGAAGUACGUAGAUGUGCCAGUACCCAGGAAUGUGAGGAGACGGUGCCUUAUAUGGUGGAGAAAGAAUGUUGCGAUACAGACUUCUGCAACUGACUUGGUUUUGCCUCAGAAUCAAUAUGCUCAAUUAUGAUCAGUUCAGUAAAUCAUUCCAGUAAUUUUUUAUAGCAGUAUAAUCCAUGAUAUAAGUUAAUGAUGAAAGAAAUUUAAAUUUAGAAUUUAGAGCAUGGUAAAUUACACAACUGGAUCAAAACAAAAUAUAAUAAUGUGCAUGUCUGCAAAAAAAGAACAGUCAUUUGUCUCAUGUGUUUUCUUCUAACACUGUAAACACACAAAUGUGAAAAAAAAAAAUAAAGGAAGCAAGAAAAGUGCUUGUGUC